UAAUACCGCAUACGACCGUACGGGUGAAAGUGGGGGACCUUCGGGCCUCACGCGAUGAGAUGAGCCGAUGCCGGAUUAGCUAGUUGGCGGGGUAAAGGCCCACCAAGGCGACGAUCCGUAGCUGGUCUGAGAGGAUGAUCAGCCACACUGGAACUGAGACACGGUCCAGACUCCUACGGGAGGCAGCAGUGGGGAAUAUUGGACAAUGGGGGCAACCCUGAUCCAGCCAUGCCGCGUGUGUGAAGAAGGCCUUCGGGUUGUAAAGCACUUUUGUUGGGGAAGAAACCGGCCGGGUUAAUACCCUGGUUGAAUGACGGUACCCAAAGAAUAAGCACCGGCUAACUUCGUG
This 349-nucleotide ribosomal RNA is filed under the name uncultured bacterium. Its description in RNAcentral is "bacterial SSU rRNA". It matches the Rfam family "Bacterial small subunit ribosomal RNA", at positions 164 to 507 of the family's 1533-position model. The record is from RNAcentral.